RNAcentral lists this unclassified non-coding RNA (222 nucleotides) under uncultured Ascomycota. RNAcentral describes it as "sequence contains ITS2". The record is from RNAcentral. Lineage: Eukaryota; Fungi; Ascomycota.
AAAACCUUCCGCCCCGCGGUUUUUUGGACCGCGGGUGCGGGUGCCUUGGCGAGGGGAUCGUGGCGGCCGCUCCUUUUGCGGCACGCCUUCCCCCGCUCAAACGCGGAGAAAGCUAGCGGGCAGGCGCCCCCAUCGCGACGACUCGUAGAUCACCGUCUCUGUCGUACCGCGUUUUGGGGAGCCCCCGCCUAAAACCGUGCAGCCGUUCCACCGGCCACUGAA